GUAUAGCCCUAACCUCCUAGCAUCUCUGAAAUAUGUUUGGGGGCUAUCCCUGAAACUUUUGUCACAUCCGCUAGACUUCCUUUUCCCAUCUUACAUACAUCCUCCAAAGCCAGGAAAAAGAAUGCAUCUCUCCAUGCUCUAGAGCAGCAGCUGCUGAAGGGAGACUCAUAAAUCCUCUGACAGCAUCUUUCCUUAAACAUACACCAUCACAGUUUUCAAAUUCAUUGAUGUGAGAUGAGCACAGCAAUAGCAUCAUCUCCCUUAUACUAUAUAUGAUAUUCUUUAUUGUAAAUGUUUUGCCAUAGUUUAACUUGCAGUAUUGAUGAAAGUUUUGUAAGAAAAGACAAGCACAUGCUAGUAAUGGUGUUUUAUAAUGUGGGACGAGAUUUUUCAGAAAAGUGACUUGACCAAGGAAGUGCAGCUGUAAGCAGUGUCAUCUGUCUUCUAUUUUGACCCUCAG
This 460-nucleotide long non-coding RNA is filed under the name Homo sapiens (human). RNAcentral describes it as "HSALNT0103090". Lineage: Eukaryota; Metazoa; Chordata; Mammalia; Primates; Hominidae. The record is from RNAcentral.